UAGAUAAAACUGAUGAUAAUAUAGUUCAUCUGAACAAUAUCAAGUAAUGAUAGUUAAAAAUCUAUCUAUUUUCGCCCCUAUCUGAGAUUGUUUC
This 94-nucleotide small nucleolar RNA is filed under the name Euroglyphus maynei. RNAcentral describes it as "Small nucleolar RNA snR60/Z15/Z230/Z193/J17". It matches the Rfam family "Small nucleolar RNA snR60/Z15/Z230/Z193/J17". Rfam says of the family: The members of this family belong to the C/D class of snoRNAs which contain the C (UGAUGA) and D (CUGA) box motifs. Most of the members of the box C/D family function in directing site-specific 2'-O-methylation of substrate RNAs. The family includes the yeast snoRNA snR60 (also known as Z15) and the corresponding human guide snoRNA U80 (SNORD80). Lineage: Eukaryota; Metazoa; Arthropoda; Arachnida; Sarcoptiformes; Pyroglyphidae. The record is from Rfam by way of RNAcentral.